Molecule: ribosomal RNA, 481 nt
Filed under: uncultured bacterium
Lineage: Bacteria
Description: bacterial SSU rRNA
Rfam family: Bacterial small subunit ribosomal RNA
Source: RNAcentral
UUGAACGCUGGCGGCAUGCUUUACACAUGCAAGUCGAACGGCAGCGGGGGCUUCGGCCCGCCGGCGAGUGGCGAACGGGUGAGUAAUGCAUCGGAACGUACCCAGUCGUGGGGGAUAACUACGCGAAAGCGUAGCUAAUACCGCAUACGCCCUGAGGGGGAAAGCGGGGGACCUUCGGGCCUCGCGCGAUUGGAGCGGCUGAUGUCGGAUUAGCUAGUUGGUGGGGUAAAGGCCUACCAAGGCGACGAUCCGUAGCUGGUCUGGGAGGAUGAUCCGCCACACUGGGACUGAGACACGGCCCAGACUCCUACGGGAGGCAGCAGUGGGGAAUUUUGGACAAUGGGCGCAAGCCUGAUCCAGCCAUGCCGCGUGCGGGACGAAGGCCUUCGGGUUGUAAACCGCUUUCAGCCGGAAAGGAAUCGCUGUUUUUAAUACGGACAGUGGAUAACGGUACCGGAAGAAGAAGCACCGGCUAACUACG